This 254-nucleotide ribosomal RNA is filed under the name uncultured bacterium. Its description in RNAcentral is "partial 16S ribosomal RNA". It matches the Rfam family "Bacterial small subunit ribosomal RNA", at positions 793 to 1055 of the family's 1533-position model. The record is from RNAcentral.
GUCCACGCCGUAAACGAUGGAUACUAGCUGUUGGGGCAACCUCAGUGGCUAAGCGAAAGUGAUAAGUAUCCCACCUGGGGAGUACGUUCGCAAGAAUGAAACUCAAAGGAAUUGACGGGGGCCCGCACAAGCGGUGGAGCAUGUGGUUUAAUUCGAUGAUACGUGAGGAACCUUACCAAGGCUUAAAUGUAGAUUGACCGGUUUGGAAACAGACUUUUCGCAAGACAAUUUACAAGGUGCUGCAUGGUUGUCGU